AAGGAAGCUGGGUCCACAUUUUGUGCAGUCCACACGUGAUGGCUCAUCUUAACUAACAUAUAAAGGGAAUUAAAGCUAUCAAUCUUGUCCCCCAGUGCUAUAAGAUUGUUCAGCUCAGGUUCAAUACAACGAAAUAUUUUUGUCAUCAUUUGUCGGAUCAUGUCCUUCUCAGAUGAUACUGUCUGUGGAACACCAGGAAUGUAUGAACGAGAUAAAUUUCCUCCAUCCAUUUCCUCUGUUUCAUUCGUUGUUGUUCCUGAGAUGCUCUGAUGCUGCUGUAGUUUGAAAAAUUUACUAAUGAAGUCCUGUUCUGCCAGACAUAGGGGCUCUAGUUCACUUAAUACUUGCUCAAAAAUCUUAUCAAAUUUUGUUCUAUCAGC
This 380-nucleotide long non-coding RNA is filed under the name Gallus gallus (chicken). The record is from RNAcentral. Lineage: Eukaryota; Metazoa; Chordata; Aves; Galliformes; Phasianidae.